RNAcentral lists this long non-coding RNA (7311 nucleotides) under Zea mays. RNAcentral's name for it is "long non-coding RNA (ZMAY_LNC000932)". The record is from RNAcentral. Lineage: Eukaryota; Viridiplantae; Streptophyta; Magnoliopsida; Poales; Poaceae.
CUCCACCACUUCCCUCCGUUCCUAUCCCAUUAUGUACGACGUUCAGCUUCCUAGGAUAUUUUCUAGCGCUCCUUUCUUCUUCCGUCCCAUGCAACACUUGGUUGCUUGCCUCCCUGGCCGCAUCACUUCUGAACCUCCCCAAGCAAAUGUGCCAUCUCUCAGCUGUCGUGCUCAUCGGAGCCAGCCUCCACCACCGUCCACAGCUCUCUGGUGCUCGCCCAUGGCGCCCGCCCUGCCCCAGGUCCGAAGCUGGUCGUCGUGUAUGCUCGGUCUCACGGGCGCCAUCGUUCCGCGCACCGGCCUCGGCAAACUCCAAGAACCUGGGCCGCCUGGGCCCAGCACGUUAUCCUCGUCACCAGCUCGCUCGCGUGCCCAGCUUCCUGUUUUCCCUCUUCCUCCCGCGCUCGGACAUCGCCAGUGAAGGCCCGCGCGCGCCGUCGUUUGAAUCCUGGUUUUCUCCCUACUCGCUGCGCUCACGUCGUCGUCUUCCUGCUCGUUCCGCGACGUCGCUCCCAGUCCACAGCUCGUUGGCUUCCCUGUGCGCGGUUGCGGAUGCCGUCGCCCGAUCCUUGUGCCUUGGCCCGAUCCUUGUGCCUUGCCGAGCUCAUCACCGCCGCGAGACUCUGCAUCGCUGUGCUCAGCCACGCCUCCCUAGUCGUCUUGCACAUACUCAUCUCCAAACAGGACCACGCUGCCGACUAUUGACCCCGUCGUUGCCUCGCAGCGCUCGAACACUAUCGUUGUCACUCGACAACGUGUUUGCCCGUCACCACGUUACCUUCAGCAACACGGCUCUACUGGACUCCGUGCGCUCGUCGACACCUGGUUAUCGAUCUCCGCCACGCCGUGCCCCCGCUCUUCAGCAUCGUCGUCACCCUUUUUCUGUUAUGUCGCAGGCGUUCGUGGAUUGGUAAGCUGAUUUAUAAAUUUUGCUAGUUGGUUUAAUGAAUGGAUUAGCUAGAUAGAUUAGUCACAAUGAUGUUGUGAUUAUAUUAAGUGUUGUUGAAGCGUAUCGUCUCAUGCAGUAAUGUGAUUGUGAAGUGGUUGCGUCGUGUGAAGCUUAGUGUUAAGAUUUAAGUUUUACAAUGAGUAUUUUGAUAGAUGAAUAUGUCAUGUGUUGCUAGGACAAGUAAAUUAGUAACACAAAGAAUCAUUCUGUCGUUUAGUGUUGUCAGCAGUGAUUUUUGAUAAAUCUUGAUUGCAUAGUGAAGUCGAUGAUUUGCUCUGGUAAUCAUUAUAUUUGAUGUUUAGAAAUUGAUUAUGUGUCAGAUGAAUGUUGUUUGCCACUCCGAGUAGUGGGGAGCAAAUAACAUCAUCCGGUAAUUGUCAAUUUCGUGUUCUGAAUGUUUAAAAGAGAGUAGCGUUAGUGAGCCGAUUUUAAUUGAGAUCCAAGAAACACUGUGGUAGAUGUAUAAAUAAUUUAGGUAUUUAGGUCGAAUUAAUAAUAUGAAGGAUAGGUCUAGUGUUUCUAACGGCUAGCCGAUAGAUUCUACUAGCGUUGUUUGCAUUGAUUUUUAUUUAACAGGUGAAGUAACGUCUUACCGUAGCAGUGGUCGUUCUUUAUGUAGUUAAUCAGCUUAGUGUCAUAGUGGAAUGUUGAUUGCUUAGGUCGAUAGUCUAGGAUAAAUGUUUAUCAUAGCCUAAAUUAUUUGGAAACAAGUAACAUCAGUAGACCACUUUCUAUUGAAAUUUAGGAUACAUAAGCGCUUUAGAUAUUUAAUCUGUUGAGAAUGUCGUUUUUUGGAAAUGCUAUUUUUUAUAUAAUACUUUAUCAGAUGGUUUGAAUAGUGUAGUGCUUUAUUGAGUUGAUAUCCUUUACAUGAUAAUAUAGUAUAGUAAUUCUAAAGUUAAAUGAAAUGCUACUGUUCAUUAUUUUAAAUCUUGGAUGUUCUAUAAUAGUAAGUCUGAGUUUUAGAUGUUAUGCUCUAGUCAAGAGAGAUAGAGUGCUUAUGAAUAGUUCGCUAUGGCUUGCUGUUAGAAUUGGGUCCGGUUAAGUUAGAAUGCCAUAGCUAUAGUUCUUAAUGUGAUUUCGACACCUAGUGUUUUCGUAUUAGAGUUGCGAUGUCUUGCUAUAAGUGUCACACCCGGUUUUGAAAGUAAACCGAAUGCGAACCAUGUACGUGCCAGGAUCAGAACUCACGUACAUAGCGAUUACAUAAACGACUCAUCAUAGCACAAUGCUUCGAAUAACAAUAAAGAGUAAGUAAUAAUAUUAAAGACUAGAGUCAUUUACAUAAUAUGAAUCAAAGUGCACAAAAUAGAAACGUAGCCAACGUAAACAAACCCACCACAGAUAGCUGACUGGGGGAUGUCGCUAGCCUAAUCCUCGAAUUCAUCGAUGUCCUGGAACUCCUGGAGAUCCGCCUCGACGCCGUCUUCUUUACCUGAGCAUAGAUUGCACCAAAGGCAACCUGGUGUUUUGUGAAAGCAAGGGUGAGUACACAUCAACAUACUCAGCAAAUGUCCCGUUUGGCUGAGUUGGACUAGCUUUAUGUGAAGUUAAGGUUGAAGCAGUUGCUUUUAGUUGGUCAAGUAUUUAUUAUUAGUGGGAGCCAAGUUUUAGCAAUAACCAACCCGUGAAUCAUUUCCUCAUCGAGGAACAUCAUUAUCAUCAUCGAACCAAAACCAUAAAUAGAACCAUUGAAUCUCAGGUCAUCUGUAUCUCUAAUCAAAGAGGAUCCAAGGCCACUCAUAACCGUGAGCACGGCUGAUAUAUCAGUUUCAUAACACUCUGCAGAGGUUGCACACUUUACCCAUGAGCCGUGAUUCCCUUUCUGCCUGAGGAUUGCGACUCCCCAUUGAUCACUUCCAAGGUGAACUAGCAGGGUCUCACUACAUGGCUUUUCCCUAGGGUCCUCACUAUGCGAAUGUUGGAAAUGACCAUUGCAUAAAGUUCAUCUAACGUCCCAAAACAUAUACCUCCGCCCUCAGGAAAAAGCCGUGGGACGAUGCCUGUACCCAGAUCCCUGAGCGAGAAUAUAGGAGCCAUAACAGAUGCCUUCGUUCCCCAAUGACCAAAACCAGCACCCAACAUAGGACUUCCCUAAUUACUUGGCCAAGGGCAUCCCAUAUCACCCUCAUGGUUGCACUGUUUUCCCGGGUGGUCUCUCAACGAACAGGUCCUUACGGAGAGGUACUCAAGAAAACAGCCUGAGUCCCCUAAAGUGCCACAAGUAUAUCAUCAUAUCCAGAAUAGUAUCAUCAUUGUAUCUCAUCAUGUUCAUUGAUUAAAGUAAAGCAAUAGCAUAAAGCUAACCAUAGUAACCCAAAAGGUAAAUAAGGAUGAGGUAAAUACAGAGCAGUCAAUCCUUAGGUUUCAAUAAUGUAAUGCGGGACGAUGAAUUAUAAGUAUGUAGGACAUAAUAGGUUAGAGGACACUUGCCUUCACCAAACAGAUGCUCAGGGUCUUCAACCUUGUAGAACUCGAAGAACCAGGUCACUUGGUGACCGAAGCUUGACCGUCGAUUCCUCGAAGCUCGAAAACGGAUCGCAAUCAGAGUCAUGGCAGCGAUGUCCCCUCACGACGGUUGCUGCUCGACGAAGCUGGUGAUGGUGGUGUCACCCCGGGAUGGAGAUUGCGAGAACGGGCGGUGGUUCUGUGUGGCGAUGGGCAAGGAGCAGAGGGGUGAGGGAAGAAGAGAUAAAUGUGCAGGGAAUAUGGCUUUUUAUGCAGGCGGCUCACAAGGUCGUGGACUCGUGGUGACGGUUGCCGAGAGGAAAAGAAAAUUGUUUUCCCCUUAUUUUCUCUAUUUCUUGCUCUUGUUUUCUAUCUUCUAUUUUAUUCUAUUUUCUUUUGAAUUCAACUUCAAACACAAAUUUGUGGAGUACGUAAAUGCACAACUAGAAUAAAUCAACAUAAAAAAAGAAGAGAUGAUUCAACAUGUCAUGCAACAAUUCUGACCCGUUUUGAGUUUUAUUUUACUAGGCUUACAAUUAUAUAAAACUAAAUAACUCUCCACAGUUUAGAACAAAGAGUAGAAAAGAAGGGAAGAAAGCGGAUAACACCUGAAUUUGGUGGAUGCUAGGAAAAAAAAUUAUACCCUCAAAUUCAGGGUGUUACAAAUCUAACCCCCUUAACAGAAUCUCGCCCCCGAGAUUCAAGAAGAGGCUAUAAAGAACGACAAGUUAGGUUCAUAAGUUGUUCACGGCUUUCUUGAGUUGACUUUGACUCUGCAAGCUUAGCUUGUGGACUGGUUGCUUUGACCUUCAGAUGUUCACGACCAACUAUCAAUUCUUGAGGAUCUCUUGGACUUGUGAGUUAGGACCCACACACGCUUCCGUUGCGCUACUCUGAUCUUGUUUGUUGAGGUUGAACGAAUUGUCUUCAUUGGGGUUAGCAGCUAACCCCCUUAACAGGAGCAUUGAUACGCACUUGGUGAAGAUGCUACCGACUCUGAUCUUGACUGGUUAAAAGAGGUUGUAGGAUGCCACCCGGACAGGUACAAGAGGAAAGAGUAGAUAGAAAAGGUAAGCAUAGAUGGAUUAGAGAGAGCAAGGGGAGAACCCAAUUACUUAACUAUAUGGCACUCACCUAGUAAACUGAUGUCAUUGCGGACUAAGGGCCACAACACAUCAACACUCAUCACAAAGAAGCAAAUCAGUCAUAACACAAAGACAAACAUCGCAAGCAUACAACAACAAACAUCUCGUUGCUACACGUUAAUGUUAACUAGAUGGUGGCCUUUCCUUACAAAGGGGAAACUACUCUAAGGCCAUCGAAAGGCGAGGGGAAUGAUAAGACAUGGAGGAUAGGGGCAUGAGCAUAAUAAAGGAUGGAACUAAAGCAAGGAUUUUAACCGACAGGGAGAGAAUGCAACCAAGGUCAGGAUAGGUAAAACACCAUUCUCAAAUCGAGAUGGAAAAGAUGAUAUUUAAAAAGGUAGGCAUAGGAUAAGCAUCAUGGAAAGAUCUAGAUAUUAGGAAGGUAAGGGUGAUAUCGAGCAAAAGCUAAGACUUGCAACGUGAUAGAGGAAAAGGGAACGAACUAGAGCGGGAUGGGUUAGAUAUCACUCUUGAAAUGAAAUGGGAGAGGCGGCUUUAAAAUAUGGAUACAUGAUAAGCAUCAAGGUAAAUAUCAAGGGAUGACAAGGGUUAAGGUGAUAACAGUCAAAUACACAACCAAGAAUGUAUAUUAGACAAGACUUGCAAGGUGUCAAAGAAGGGGGGCAGCCAAUGGUGAAAUAGAUGAGGCAUUAUCCCCGAACAGGGAUGGAAAAGAGAAGGCUUCAAAGGAUAGGUUCAAGAUAAGCAGGAGGGCAAGGGCAUAGAUAUCACGUGGGUUUUAAAGGUAAUAACGGCUAAGGAUGUAGGAGAUGAGGUAUAUAGGCAUAAGACAAAAGAUAUAAGUACCAUAAAGGAUGGAGUUAAGAUGGGACCUACAAAUGGAAAAGGAGAGGGUACGUCCAAGGGCCAGAUGGGUAAACUGCCACUCUCAAUUUGAGGUGGAAGAGCAGAGAUUUUUUUAAAGAGUAGAAAUAAAUAUGAGUAUCAAGGCAAGAUCGAUGGACGACAAUGUGAGGGUGAUAGAAAAUAAAAACACCUCAAGGGAUAGAAUUAACACAAAACUUGUAAGGCGACAAGAAGUGAAUAGAAAUCAAGGGAGAGGUAGGUACCUCGCAACUCUCAAACUAGGUUGAAAGAAAGUGGAGGCUUUUAAAGGACAAGUUCAAGGUAAGCAUUUAGGUAGAAGACAUAAAUAUCGCAAGGGUCAAACGCGAUAACAGACAAGGGUAUGAGAGAACAGAUGAAGGCAUAAAAGAGCUUGUGGUAUGAGUACAACAAAGAAUGGAGUUGCGCCCAAGCUUACACUUGGUAAAGAAGAGGAUAUAGCCAAGGGUGAGGUAAGUAAAACACUGCUCUCAAACUAAGAUAGGAUAUUGGAUAUUUUAGAGAACAGACAUAAUGUAAUUACCAAGGUAGGAUCGAGAGAUGAGAAAGGUAAAGGUAGUACCCAACAGGAGCACAACAAAGGAUGGAGUUGAAAACUCGCAAGCGACAAGGAGGAGGAUACGACCAAGGGAAAAUAGGUAAAAUACAACUAUAAAAUUGAAAUGGAAGAGAGAAGGUUUUAGAGGACAGGUAUGACAUAAGCAUCAAGGUAAGAUAUAGAGGUGACAAGGGUAAAGAUGAUAAUCGUGAAAAGCAUAACCAAGGAUAGAGUUAAGGCAAGACUCACGAAGUGGCGAAGUGGAGAGAAUAAUCAAGGGUAAGAUAGGUAUGGUUCCAACAGAAGGGUUGAAGUAAAAAUUCAUUACCCAAGGAAGUUACAAGGAAACAACGAGAUCACCAAGGAUGUGCAAAAUAAAAUGACCGCUCAUGGAUCAUUAAGAAACAAGGGUGGUCAAGGACAUGUAAACUGAAAUGUUUUAAAUAGACAUUGGAUAUAAAGGUAAGCAUAUAAAAAUAUGAGAGUAUGUAAGGUUUCAAGGAGAUGAGCAUACCAAUACCAAGAGACAAGAAAUUACCGAAAGAUAGCGACUUAACAACAGAAAAGGAAAGGGUCUCAAAAGACAGAAAGGUCAUGGUCAUAUAAACUGAAAUAUUUAAGUAGGUAGUAGAGGUACAAGGGUAAGUGCUUUAGGUUAAGGGAUAAGGGUAUUAAAAAUGCAAGGAUACGAGCAUGUCAAUAACAAAAUGGAAUAGAGAUGGUCAAAUAGUAGCAAUUUAAUAAUGGAUGAGGAAAGAGUCCCAAAAGAUUAAAGGCUAUGGUCAGGGGGCAUCUACAAAGAUGUCGCAAGCACAAGAUAAGAUCAGAUCUAACAGAUUGGGAGAAGUAUAGACCAUACUAGAAUAAAAUACUUUUUGGCAAGGGGGCAUGUAGGAGCACAACAUAGAAUUAGUCGAGGUGACUAAUAUUUUGAAGCAGAAUCAAGGAUGAGAUGAAGUAGUAAUCAAUAAGUCCUUAAAACGACCAAUGCUACUCCAGGUCAGCGGUCCUACAGCCAGCACGACUUUGAUACCACUUAUGUCACACCCGGUUUUGAAAGUAAACCGAAUGUGAACCAUGUACGUGCAAGGAUCAGAACUCACGUACAUAGCGAUUACAUAAAUGACUCAUCAUAGCACAAUGCUUCGAAUAACAAUAAAGAGUAAGUAAUAAUAUUAAAGACUAGAGUCAUUUACAUAAUAUGAAUCAAAGUGCACAAAAUAGAAACGUAGCCAACGUAAACAAACCCACCACAGGCAGCUGACUGGGGGAUGUCGCUAGCCUAAUCCUCGAAUUCAUCGAAGUCCUGGAACUCCUGGAGAUCCGCCUCGACGCCGUCUUCUUUACCUGAGCAUAGAUUGCACCAAAGGCAACCUGGUGUUUUG